AGGGCGUUUAGUGUAAAAUUAAGGGCAGGUCUUGGAAAGCAGCCACAAAGUAACACAAUGUUCCGGCUGUACUGUAGCUGUACCACACCGCCGCCGCUGAUGAGAACACUGUGUUCCAAUAGACACCCUGACCCUGUAACCCGUUCCGUGCCGAGCCAGGCCGGGAACAGGCUGUACCGCAGCAGGCUGUCCUCUCUCUCCCCGCUCAGCUGACAACACGUAUCACCAGCGCACAGGCGGGGAUGUGUAAGCACCGAAAUAAAAGCACACCUCAGUGGCCGAUAAGACGCGCGCUCAGACGGAUUACUGUGUCAGUAAAAUGGACGGUGACAAACAAAAACAAGGCGUCUUUUUUUCCUUUCUUUUUUUAAUCUCUGUUGAUCGGACAUGUUCAUGGUUAAAGUACACUUGGUUGUUCUCUAACUUAACUCCACGGCAUCCGCGUUACGUACAUGGGAGUAAUCUCCUGAGUGAUCCGUUUUAUCCGUAAACUUUUGCCCCCUGAAGCAAGAGUUUUUUUCACCGCUGCGCCUGCCAAGGACCCUAAAUAAGUGACUAAGAAACUGAACAGUGAAUAACAGAGGGAUCCUGUUAUCGUUUGAACCUUGAAAGACUGUAUCUUGCUGUUGCUGUGGUUUGGUGCUAAUUUUAUCAGUUCUGGUGAUGGGUUUAAGUAUAGAUGUGAUUAUGUGCAAAAAAACAUGUUGAUAUUGCAAGUUGAGUUGUGGCUACUUUUAAACUUUUAAUGUAUUAUGUUGGGUAGUUCACUCUGUGGCAGUGCAUUGUUGUUUAUAAGCUAAGUAUCACUGUAUGUGCCCAACAGUGAGCCAUCUGUACAUAUAUUUAGAUAUUUGGAAGGCCAGUUUCUGGCAGAGACUACCGCCUUGGAAAAACAAAUGGCCUGUGUUCAUUUAUAAAUGUCAUUUGAUGUUCCAUCUCCUUUGAGGUAAAUUUUAGGUGCUUUCCUGUAAAUCCCCCUCCUCUUUCUCUCAUGCACUUUUGUGGGAGUUUUAGUGUUCUGUUCUGUAGCCUUUCAUGCAUGAUUGCCACACAGCUGAGCAAAACAAAAUGUCGAAGAUUUCUCUUUUUUUUGUUUUAUUUUUAUGUUUUGUCAGUUUAUAUUUCCGUCCUUAAGGAAUCAUUAUUUUAUUUUAAAUGCAUUUUUCUUUUACAAAUAAAAAGACAAAUGAUACCGAAUGCUUUGUUUGUAGUCCUGAACAGCCUUCUUCUGCUUAAAUGACUCAAAAAAAACACGCUCAAACACAUUUUGUCACCUUUACAACUUUUCUUAAUUCUACAUCACUGCAUGUACACAUUAUUUCUGAACUAAUAAAAGUAUUCAGCCACAGAAAAUAACACAUUGCGUGUUUGAAGUUUUAGAGACUGUAAAAGCUAAUAAAUACAGCUGAUUUAUUAAUCUCUGCAUAUGUGUUGACAUUACUGUGCUUCAAAAAUCCCAAAUAAAUCUAUCUCAGUGUCUAGAGAGAA
Molecule: long non-coding RNA, 1488 nt
Organism: Acanthochromis polyacanthus (spiny chromis)
Lineage: Eukaryota; Metazoa; Chordata; Actinopteri; Pomacentridae
Exons: 2
Source: RefSeq, a predicted model, not a curated record